UACGAAGGGGGCUAGCGUUGUUCGGAAUUACUGGGCGUAAAGGGCGCGUAGGCGGUACUUCAAGUCAGGCGUGAAAGCCCCGGGCUCAACCUGGGAACCGCGCUUGAGACUGGAGAACUAGAGUUCGGGAGAGGAUGGUGGAAUUCCCAGUGUAGAGGUGAAAUUCGCAGAUAUUGGGAAGAACACCGAUGGCGAAGGCAGCCAUCUGGACCGACACUGACGCUGAGGCGCGAAAGCGUGGGGAGCAAACAGG
RNAcentral lists this ribosomal RNA (253 nucleotides) under uncultured bacterium. RNAcentral describes it as "partial 16S ribosomal RNA". It matches the Rfam family "Bacterial small subunit ribosomal RNA", at positions 524 to 776 of the family's 1533-position model. The record is from RNAcentral.